GCCUCGCUAGCUCAAUCGGUAGAGCGUGUGACUCUUAAUCACAAGGCUGCGGGUUCGAGCCCCGCGUGGGGCU
Molecule: transfer RNA, 73 nt
Organism: Wallemia ichthyophaga EXF-994
Lineage: Eukaryota; Fungi; Basidiomycota; Wallemiomycetes; Wallemiales; Wallemiaceae
Rfam family: tRNA
About the family: Transfer RNA (tRNA) molecules are approximately 80 nucleotides in length. Their secondary structure includes four short double-helical elements and three loops (D, anti-codon, and T loops).
Source: Rfam